UUCUAAAGAAAAUUCUAACAGAAAUAUAAAAUGCAAAAUAUCUCUUUCUUGGAUUUUUGAUUUAUGAUACAUUUUUCAAAUACCAAAUACGAAAUAAUAACAAAAGACUCGAUAAACUUAACUAGACUAUGAUAGACUCUAGCAUCAACUAAAUGACUGAACACUACUAUACAACACUAGAAAGUAAAACAUGAACAAUAGACUCAAAAAAAAAAAAAUCCUCAGGCAGCUCCUUAAUGCAGUAGUCCUGGGAUAUCUGUCAUGCUCAAACUCCGGUAAGUAGAUCCACACCUGUAUGACAAAACUGAAACCAACACUCUGUGAGACAAUAACAUUCCAUAUUAGACACAUGCAAGACAUGGUUGUGACUAUUUUUCUAAAAUUAACCUAUGUGGCUAAAAGUGGCUAAAAAUGCAAGAUUUGGCUAAGACCCUGCGAAGCCAAGAACCUAAACUCACUAGGAAGACCGGACCCUAUGUGGGUUGCCUAUGUAUCACGCCCCAAAAGACGAGAAUCAGGUAUGCGUAGUUCAGGCAGAUUGGAUACGGUUGAGAAUUAAAAAAAUAGUUUAUUCGGAAAAAAUAAUAUUUUUUAUCUUUCGUUUUGAAAAAUGAUGAAACAUGUAAACUCUUUUUGGAUUUUCUUUUCUUUUUUUUUUGAUUUUCAGAAAAUGAUGAAAAGUGCAAAAUCUUUUUUUUUUUUUUGAAUUUUUCAUGUUUUUUUUUUGUCUUUUUCUUAACAAAAAUGUGGUAGAAAACAUAAUUGGGUCCUACUUGCUUUAUUUUCAUACUUCACCCUCUCUCUUUUUUCUUUUUCAUUUGUCCUCAACUAUCAUUGAUCUGCCAAAUAACCCUCUUACCCUUGAAGAUUGCAACAAUGUAGCACAUAAGAUGCAUCUGGAUGGUCUUUUAUUUUUGGGUACACCUGUCUUAGAUGGACAUAACACUUGUGUUGACUCCCCAAAGUCAAAUGCAUAUGAUGUAGAAAAGCAUUUCUACUACGGAUGCGGCAUGAGGUUGAGUUAUUCUAUGUUCAAAACUUGGGUAUGUUGUUCUAGACUUGUGUACCCGAGCGGACAACUUGAGCCGGGAGGAGGGGGCUACGUACCGGGAACCAAAAGGCCAUCCGAUUUUGUAACUUGUCCGAGCCUAUUCCUAAUUUAAGGUAUGACACUAACAGAAGAGGAGUCACACCAGCGUGCACAUCCCUGAAGAUGAGAAAAGAAGGGUUUCGUAGAAGUUUAUAUACAGUUCAGAUAAUAUGAAAGCGGUAAAAGCAAAAUUUAGCACAUUAGGCCCAAACAUGUAAUUAAAACCAGAUAAUAAAUAAAAGCCAAAUAUAACAAUUAUUCUAAGCUCGAAUUCUUGAAUCCUGAACAAGAGAUUCUGGGUUCGAUCCCCAGCAAAGUCGCUAGAGCUAUCACACCUCCUUUUUCACACCCCGAAAUCCAAUUUAAGUGACAAUCGAAAUGAGAUUAUUUUAUUUAAAAUUCAGAGUUGCCACUUGGGAUAAUUUUUGGUGUCCCAAGUCACCGGUUUAAAUCCCAAAUCGAGGAAAGGUUGACUCUGUUUUACAGUCCGUGAACACAAAAAUUCGGGUAAGGAAUUCUGUUAACCCGAGAGAAGGUGUUAGGCAUUCCCGGGUUCCGUGAUUUUAGCACGGUCCCUCAACUGUUAUUAUUGGCCUAUUUAUUUGAUUUUAAAAUAACUUUGAAACCUAUGUGCAUUUUUAAUCCUUUUAACCGCUUUUAAUAAUCCGAUUUUUAUACAACUAAUUACUUGAUUAUACGUCGCGAAUCGUGUCACGGGAACCGUAUCCAUGAUCCACAACAUGUUUAUUUUAUUAACAAGAUUAAAUUGUGGUCGGGUCACAUAAAUGUACCCCCGAUUUUAGAAAUUAAGUGUCAUAACCACGUCAUGGGAACCAUACCCGUAGCUACAAUAAUUUAUUUAAUUAAUGCGCCUAAAGCAAACUAUGAGAUUUCAAGGCAUUUUCUACACUAAUUAUGAUAUCGAUGUGAGGGCCAUAGACUAGGUGAUUGUAUGGCACACCUCAACUUAUUUAAAGAAAAAGAUUUGUGCUCAAAUUAAAGCGAAUUACGGGUAUUCAUACUAAAAAAAUUAAUUCAAGAUUAGGUAUCACAACCACGCUAUGGGAACCAUACCCGUAAUUGUGAUGAUUUAAUUACGUGCAUAAGAAAACUACAAAGUUCGUAAUUCUAUUAUCUUAAAAUGAUUAUACCUUAGCCACGAGAGUCAGGAAGGUGCACAACCGAAUGCCUCCUUUUAAGUUUUCAAUCCUAAAGCACAAUUUUAAACUUAAGGAAAACACAAACCCAAGAAAAACUAGAGAGACUUGUCUUUCAAUUCAAACGAAAAUGUAGCUGACUCUCAAAGCCAAAAAAAAAAACAAACAAACAAACUAAAUAGAAUUUUGCACAACCAGUUCUGCUUUCUGGUUUUCUUAUCCGGAAAAUGGCGUGCCCUUUCUACUCUACAACCCCAAAGAAUUAAACAGAAUUCCAUGGUUUUUGAUUAAAAGGGAAUCAAACUUUCUUAUAAAAACAGUACUUAUUCAAUAGAAGCAAUAAUAAUUUCGUAAUUGUGAUUUCAUUUUUAAGCUAUUGAAUGAACUAUUAAUCACAGAUCUUGAAAUCUCAAGUUACUACAAAGAAAUAUCUCAAACAUGGACAAAAUUUGAUAGCAUAUGGAUAAGCGAGGCUCACCUCUAUUAUAGACCAGCUAACCGCUAGAGAACUAACAAGUAAAUGAGUCUGGACCUCAAACUAGACCGACUCACCGGAUCUUUUGACGGAACUCGGUUACUCGACUAAUUUUCGCUAGAGUUUGGUCCUCCACUAUUGUAGGAAUUUUUUGGACUAAACCGCGUUGUAGGAAUUUUCUCUUUUCUUAAGAGUUGUCAGAAUUUGUGGUCCUUUUUGGCUGGAAAUCUUCAGGUGUGUCCUUGAAGUGUAGAAAAAGAUGAAAUUUAGCAGGGGAUCUCUUGCUGUGUGUGUUUUCAGCGUGAGUGUGCGUGUUUUGUGAAGAAGAUAACCGGUAGUGAUGGGUCGUUAGUUUCAAUGGUGGUCGACGAUGGGGUGGCUUGGAGGGAUGGCUCGCUAGUGUGAGAUGGAGGUUUCCGGCGAACUGUGGUGGCUGGUUUAGCGUAGGAGAUCAGGGGUCCAAGUCUGGUUGGGUGGUGCGAAGAAGGAGACGUGAGAGGUGGGGCUAGGUCUGCGGUUGUCUGCUAUGUCUGCGGUUGUCCGCUUUUUUUUGUCCUAGGUCUCUUUUUUUAGCUUCUCUCCCUUCAUUUUCAG
Molecule: long non-coding RNA, 3316 nt
Filed under: Nicotiana tabacum (common tobacco)
Lineage: Eukaryota; Viridiplantae; Streptophyta; Magnoliopsida; Solanales; Solanaceae
Description: long non-coding RNA (NTAB_LNC008878)
Source: RNAcentral